CGGUAAUUCCAGCUCCAAUAGCGUAUACUAAAGUUGUUGCAGUUAAAAAGCUCGUAGUUGGAUUUCUGCGGGGACGGAGCGGCCGGUCGCAACUUGCGACUCGAGCUAGCGCUUUCCCCGCAUCCUGCCGCGAACCGUGCUACCAUUAGCUUGGUGGCGCUGGGGAUCGGCUCGAUUACUUUGAGAAAAAUAGAGUGUUCAAAGCAGGCCACACGCCUUGAAUAAGUUAGCAUGGAAUAAUGACUAAGGACUUCGGUUCUAUUUUGUUGGUGUUCGGGACUGAAGUAAUGAUUGAUAGGGACAGUUGGGGCGGUCUGUAUUCCAAAGCGAGAGGUGAAAUUCUUAGACCUUCGGAAGACAAACAGCUGCGAAAGCGUUCCGCAAGGAUGUUCCCUUUGAUCAAGAACGAAAGUUGGGGGAUCGAAGACGAUCAGAUACCGUCGUAGUCUCAACUAUAAACUAUACCAGCUAGGGAUCGGUCAACGUUUAAUCAUUCGACUUGAUCGGCACCUUAUGAGAAAUCAAAGCAUCUGGGUUCCGGGGGGAGUAUGGUCGCAAGGCUGAAACUUAAAGGAAUUGACGGAAGGGCACCACCAGCCGUGGAGCCUGUGGCUUAAUUUGACUCAACACGGGAAAACUUACCAGGUCCAGACAUAGUAAGGAUUGACAGAUUGAUAGCUCUUUCUUGAUUCUGUGGGUGGUGGUGCAUGGCCGUUCUUAGUUGGUGGAGUGAUUUGUCUGGUUAAUUCCGUUAACGAACGAGACCCCAGCCUGCUAAAUAGCGCGGCUGAGCUUUGCUCGGUGCGAGCUUCUUAGAGGGACUAUGAUGCGCGAUAGCACAUGGAAGUUUGGGGCAAUAACAGGUCUGUGAUGCCCUUAGAUGUUCUGGGCCGCACACGGGCUACACUGGCGCCUGCAACGAGCAUAUCAGCUGGCCCGAGAGGGUCUUGGCUAAUCUUUUGAACCGGCGCCGUGCUUGGGAUUGACCAUUGCAAUUGUUGGUCAUGCAACGAGGAAUGCCUUGUAAACGCGAGUCAUCAGCUCGCAUUGAAUACGUCCCUGCCCUUUGUACACACCGCCCGUCGCUCCUACCGAUGAAUGUUCCGAUGAAAUUUUCGGAGAGCGCCAGAGAACGGGGCUCCGCCUUGCAGAUCUGGAGGCUCAAAGUCACUUAAAUCUGAACAUUUCGAGGAAGGAGAAGUCGUAACAAGGUAGCCG
This 1218-nucleotide ribosomal RNA is filed under the name uncultured Rhizaria. RNAcentral's name for it is "SSU rRNA". It matches the Rfam family "Eukaryotic small subunit ribosomal RNA", at positions 577 to 1805 of the family's 1831-position model. The record is from RNAcentral.